RNAcentral lists this ribosomal RNA (496 nucleotides) under uncultured bacterium. RNAcentral's name for it is "partial 16S ribosomal RNA". It matches the Rfam family "Bacterial small subunit ribosomal RNA", at positions 28 to 506 of the family's 1533-position model. The record is from RNAcentral.
GAUGAACGCUGGCGGCGUGCCUAAUACAUGCAAGUCGAGCGAACAGACGAGGAGCUUGCUCCUCUGACGUUAGCGGCGGACGGGUGAGUAACACGUGGAUAACCUACCUAUAAGACUGGGAUAACUUCGGGAAACCGGAGCUAAUACCGGAUAAUAUAUUGAACCGCAUGGUUCAAUAGUGAAAGACGGUUUUGCUGUCACUUAUAGAUGGAUCCGCGCCGCAUUAGCUAGUUGGUAAGGUAACGGCUUACCAAGGCAACGAUGCGUAGCCGACCUGAGAGGGGGAUCGGCCACCCGGGAACUGAGACGCGGUCCAAACCCCUACGGGAGGCAGGAGUGGGGAAUCUUCCGCAAGGGGCGAAAGCCUGACGGAGCAACGCCGCGUGGGUGAUGAAGGUCUUCGGAUCGUAAAACUCUUUUAUUAGGGAAAAAAAAAUGUGUAAGUAACUAUGCCCGUUUGGACGGUACCUAAACAGAAAGCCACGGAUAACUACGU